UUUGUGAUAAUGAAUGUUUCAUUUCUUGAAAAAAUAGGAUAAAAUGAAAGUUUUCUUGGUUUCGUUGAACCCGAGAAGCAAAGAUAAAUUUGUGGCCGAAGGAACUUUAGUGAGUAGAGAUAAAACAUAUGUGGUUGGAGGAAACAUGCUUGGAGAGCAAUAUGUAGCAGUUUCUAUUUGUGCUGCUUCAAAACUUCGAGAUCAGAUACUGGUUAGACCAUAUGGACAAUUACAAACAGUAAGGGAUGCUAUUGGUCAUGUUAUUGCAUGGCCUCUAUCACAUGUAAGUACACUUUCAUGCAAUCAUCCUAUGUUCCAAUGUGCGUGCUUAAGGCUUUUUAUUUAUGAAGGAUUUUUGCGAUUUUUAGGUUAAAAAACCAAAAUUAACCACUCCUGCACAACCUCAAAACAAGCCACCAAACACUGGGUAGCUCAAGAUUUAGAAAAGGAGUGCAUUGCAGGAGCCAGGAGCAACUAUAGAAGAAUUAGUCUUUAGAUGGACAAGUAUUAUGUAUUAUAUAAAGAUUUUAGAUUUGUAGGAAAACUUAGUUCUAGUUUCUAUGAUCUCUUCUUAAUUAUUUGCAUAUUUUUUAUGAAGAUUUGAUUUGAUUCAGUUGUGAACCAAAAGUGUUUGUUCCUACUAAUUGAAAUUGUGCGAAUGGGAUUGUUGUGGAUACAAUUGGUGAUAUGGGUGGAUCCCUUCAUAUAAUGAUAUUUGUUGUUCAUGAA
Molecule: long non-coding RNA, 729 nt
Organism: Aegilops tauschii subsp. strangulata
Lineage: Eukaryota; Viridiplantae; Streptophyta; Magnoliopsida; Poales; Poaceae
Source: RefSeq, a predicted model, not a curated record